AAAUUGAAGAGUUUGAUCAUGGCUCAGAUUGAACGCUGGCGGCAGGCCUAACACAUGCAAGUCGAACGGUAACAGGAAGAAGCUUGCUUCUUUGCUGACGAGUGGCGGACGGGUGAGUAAUGUCUGGGAAACUGCCCGAUGGAGGGGGAUAACUACUGGAAACGGUAGCUAAUACCGCAUAACGUCGCAAGACCAAAGAGGGGGACCUUCGGGCCUCUUGCCAUCGGAUGUGCCCAGAUGGGAUUAGCUUGUUGGUGAGGUAACGGCUCACCAAGGCGACGAUCCCUAGCUGGUCUGAGAGGAUGACCAGCCACACUGGAACUGAGACACGGUCCAGACUCCUACGGGAGGCAGCAGUGGGGAAUAUUGCACAAUGGGCGCAAGCCUGAUGCAGCCAUGCCGCGUGUAUGAAGAAGGCCUUCGGGUU
Molecule: ribosomal RNA, 427 nt
Filed under: Escherichia albertii
Lineage: Bacteria; Pseudomonadati; Pseudomonadota; Gammaproteobacteria; Enterobacterales; Enterobacteriaceae
Description: bacterial SSU rRNA
Rfam family: Bacterial small subunit ribosomal RNA
Source: RNAcentral